Molecule: ribosomal RNA, 253 nt
Filed under: uncultured bacterium
Lineage: Bacteria
Description: partial 16S ribosomal RNA
Rfam family: Bacterial small subunit ribosomal RNA
Source: RNAcentral
UACGUAGGUGGCGAGCGUUGUCCGGAUUUACUGGGCGUAAAGGGAGCGUAGGCGGAUUUUUAAGUGAGAUGUGAAAUACUCGGGCUCAACUUGAGUGCUGCAUUUCAAACUGGAAGUCUAGAGUGCGGGAGAGGAGAAUGGAAUUCCUAGUGUAGCGGUGAAAUGCGUAGAGAUUAGGAAGAACACCAGUGGCGAAGGCGAUUCUCUGGACUGUAACUGACGCUGAGGCUCGAAAGCGUGGGGAGCAAACAGG